This 3311-nucleotide long non-coding RNA is filed under the name Homo sapiens (human). RNAcentral's name for it is "HSALNT0025233". Lineage: Eukaryota; Metazoa; Chordata; Mammalia; Primates; Hominidae. The record is from RNAcentral.
UGCUUAUCAGGAGUAGCAAAGCGAUGGUCGCUCUCCCAUACCCCAUCAGCCCUCCCUGAAGGGGGCCAUCCUGUUAACCAACUUCCGCCUGGGACAGUGCUCACCAAGAUACCUAAGGAGCCCAAAGCCUUCCUUGGGUCCCUGUGGAGCAAAAUCAAUAAUGCCACUAUGUGAGGAUAACAGCCACUGCUGUAACAAACUCCAGCCUCCAGUGGCUUAACACAAUAGUCAUGGAGACGGCUCACAUAAAAUCCAAAAUGGAUUUUCCUGAUCGGUGGAUGGCUUUCCUCCGACAACUCAUUCAGGGACCCAGCUCCUUCCAUCUUGUGGUUCCAUAAUUUUCAACAUAUGGCUUCCAAUGUCACUAUACUGUAUAUAUCAAGCUGUAAAGGGAAAAGCACCUCCCACGUGGGAGGUUUCCAUGGACCGGGCCUAGAAGUAGCACCCAUUACCUCCAUCCACAUUUCAUUGGUAAAAACUAGGUCACAUGGUCUAGCUAGACCAUAAUUCCCAGCUCCCCUCUAUCUGCAAGAGAAUCUGGGAAUUACAGUAUAGCUAUGUGCUCAGGAGGAGAGGAAACAGAAUUAGACUAUGCAAUCUCCACCACAGCCGACCACCAUGACAUGAAUCACUAGCACUACCAGGGAGGGGGAUGGUAAUAAACCGGUGAGUUUACCACAGAGUUCCAACUGUUGGCCUAGAAACUGUGUUGGAAUGGCCUAACACUAGGCUCAAACAACCUCAUUAGGAUUUGGGGUAACUAUAUCAGAUGAGCAGUAAGGUCUCUGCCAAAUCCACACUUCCCUCCCCAGAGUUUCUGAAUGUAUAGGUUGCUAUGCUUUGUACCAUUGGACCUGCCUCCCUAGGCACAGAUACUUGAACCAGAGAUGGCUACUUAACCAAAAUAAGGCGUCCCUCUAUAGGUGUGCAAGAGAGGGGCUGAUGCAGUUGAGCUCUGCUCAACAAAGGCACACACUACUGAAUAUUGACAAAUGACCAAAGCCGACUUUUCUUCUUUUUUCCUUGGGAGUUUUAAAGCAAGACAUACAGAUGGAAGAGAGAUGGAAGAGGAACGGCACAGAGAGAGAAGGCAGGUGCAGAAUCACAAAGCAUCUGAACCCAUGAGGAGGUAGACGCAAAGGAGUAGGAGACACACAGCAGGAUCAAAUCAGUCGGGAGCAAAAUAGGAAGAAUCUGGAAAAGAAGAAAUAAAAGCAGAAUUUUAGACAGGACCUAGUACACUCAAGGUUCCUGCCAAUUGCUAACGAAGCUGAAGUCUCCCUAUCAGUAAAAGAAAUAAAUAUUGGAUACCAAGAGCCUCAGAGACUUAUACUGAGUUGAAGAUGGAAGCAAUGAAAAAAGAGACUCACUGUAUUAGCAAGUGGAUACUUGGUGCUGCUGGACUGCAAAAUUUGUCUAAAGAUUAAGAAAAUAUUAGGGAAAAUCUCCUAUAGAUAGGGCAGGUAUAAAGUAAACACAGUGUACUAGUCCAUUCUCAUACCACUAAUACUGCUAUGAAGAAAUACCCGAGACUGGGUAAUUUAUAAAGAAAAAGAGGCUUCAUGGAUUCACAGUUCCACAUGGCUGGGGAGGCCUCACAAUCAUGGUGGAAGGCGAAGGAGGAGCAGAGGCACAUCUUACAUGGCGGCAGGAAAGAGACCGUCUGCAGGGGAGCUGCCCUUUAUAAAAUCAUCUGAUUCACUACCACAAGAACAGCAUGGGAAAAACCUGCCCCUAUGAUUCAAUUACCUCUUACCGGGUCCCUCCCACAACAUGUGGGGAUAAUGGCAGCGACAAUUCAAGAUGAGAUCUGGGUGGGGACACAGUGAAACCAUAUCACACAGAAUAGUCUGGAAUACUAAAAAUAAGGUCGCACUGUAAAGGCAUUGAAGCAUAGGAACAGGACAGAUGGGUGUGGCUUGGGAAAGGGGAAAGAUUGGCACUUUUAUUCCAGGAUUGGGCCCCAUCUCAUUUUAGCUCACCAAAUUCUUGAGUAUCAACCUGUUCUGAAAUUGAUUAGAAUGGAGUGUUAAAAAAAGUAAGUUGAUAUUUUUUAUUUGAUAUUCUUAUACUCUUGUGGCUUAAGUGGUGCUGGCAUUUUUAUUUCAAUUUUAUAGAUAAGGAAAAUGAAAUAAAAAGAGGGUGACACAUAGAAAAUGCAUGAUAGAGCCAGCAACUGUCUCUACGGACUUGUGGUGUACUUUUAUUCCAUUAGAUUACAAAAAAACUGGAUUUGUUUGUGAAUAAGAUUAGAGUCAUUUUCAAAUUAAAUUUAUCAGCUACAUGGAAAAAUUAUCUUCUUUACCUUAGAGGCACUCCUUGUGGGUGUAUUUUGUCCCCACCAAAUUAGCUUUAUUUAGGGGAACCUAAAUUUAUUCUACUAAAACUACUCGAAAUGACAUUCGUUUGUUUCCAAAAAUUAAAUCCAUACUCCAAAGGUGUGUAAUUUGACUAAAUUAAAAAAAAAAAUCUGCAUGCCAGAAAGUAAAAGUAGAGUGAAAAGAUAGAUGACAGACACAUCAUGACUAAGGCUGAGACCUUUCAUAUAGAAAAAGAUCAAUAAUUCAGUGGGAAGAAAUGGGGAAAAAUCAUAAACUGUCAGGUCAAACAAAAGGAAAUACAAACAGUUUUAAGAGAUAUGAAAGAUGUUCUAAUUUAGAAAAUGAAAAUUAGGCUGGACAUGGUGGCUCACGUCUGUAAUCCCAGCACUUUGGGAGGCCAAGGUGGGUGGAUCACCUGAGGUCAGGGGUUCGAGACCAGCCUGACCAAUAUGGUGAACCCCCAUCUCUACUAAAAAUACAAAAAUUAGCCAGGUGGACACAAGCCUGUGAUCCCAGCUUCUCAGGAGGCUGAGACAGGAGAAUGGCAUGAACCCAGGAGGCAGAGGUUGCAGUGAGCUGAGAUCGUGCCACUGCACUCCAGCCUGGGCAACAGAGCGAGACUCUGUCUCAAAAAAAAAAAAAAGAGAAAGAAAAGAAAAGAAAAAGAAAAUUAACACUGAGUUUCUAUUUUUCACAUAUUAGAUUGGGAAAAAAUCCCAAUGCUUGAUAAUUAAAGCUUGUUUCAGAAGGACUGAAGAAACUGGUACUCUCACACAAGAUGAGAGACUCUAUCAUCAAGAUAGCAACAUCUACCAAAAAUUGUCAAGCCCUUUGACAUAUUUCCAAUAAUUUACCGAGAAAAAGUUCUCACUUUUGUGAGAUGAUAUGCAUGCUAAGAUAUUCUCUGCAGCAUGAGCUAUUAUAGCAAAAGCCUGGAAACAACUUAAACGUCCAUUAGUAAGGAGAUUAAUUCAAUAUAUUAUGAUUCAU